Molecule: ribosomal RNA, 1454 nt
Filed under: uncultured bacterium
Lineage: Bacteria
Description: bacterial SSU rRNA
Rfam family: Bacterial small subunit ribosomal RNA
Source: RNAcentral
UAGAGUUUGAUCCUGGCUCAGAAUGAACGCUGGCGGCACGCUUAACACAUGCAAGUCGAACGAGAUCUUCGGAUCUAGUGGCAGACGGGUGCGUAACGCGUGGGAACCUGCCCUUUAGUAAGGAAUAACUCAGGGAAACUUGUGCUAAUACCUUAUAAUCCCUUCGGGGGAAAGCUUUAUGCGCUAAUGGAUGGGCCCGCGUUAGAUUAGCUUGUUGGUGAGGUAAUGGCUCACCAAGGCGACGAUCUAUAGCUGGUCUGAGAGGAUGAUCAGCCACACUGGGACUGAGACACGGCCCAGACUCCUACGGGAGGCAGCAGUGGGGAAUAUUGGACAAUGGGGGCAACCCUGAUCCAGCGAUGCCGCGUGAGUGAUGAAGGCCCUAGGGUUGUAAAACUCUUUCGCCAGGGAAGAUAAUGACGGUACCUGGUAAAGAAGAUCCGGCUAACUCCGUGCCAGCAGCCGCGGUAAUACGGAGGGAUCUAGCGUUAUUCGGAAUAACUGGGCGUAAAGCGAGCGUAGGCGGAUUUGUAAGUUGGAGGUGAAAUCCCAAGGCUUAACCCUGGAACUGCCUUCAAAACUACAUUUCUUGAGUUUGGUAGAGGAGAGUGGAAUUCCUAGUGUAGAGGUGAAAUUCGUAGAUAUUAGGAGGAACACCAGUGGCGAAGGCGACUCUCUGGGCCAAUACUGACGCUGAGGUUCGAAAGCGUGGGGGAGCGAACGGGAUUAGAUACCCCGGUAGUCCACGCAGUAAACGAUGAGUGCUAGAUGUUGGGAACAUUAGUUUUCAGUAUCGCAGCUAACGCGUUAAGCACUCCGCCUGGGGAAGUACGGCCGCAAGGCUAAAACUCAAAUGAAUUGACGGGGACCCGCACAAGCGGUGGAUCAUGUGGUUUAAUUCGAAGCAACGCGAAGAACCUUACCGGCUCUUGACAUACCAAUCGCGGAUCUAAGAGAUUAGAUCCUUCACUUCGGGUGGAUUGGAUACAGGUGCUGCAUGGCUGUCGUCAGCUCGUGUCGUGAGAUGUUGGGUUAAGUCCCGCAACGAGCGCAACCCCUACCUUCAAUUGCCAGCACGUUAUGGUGGGAACUUUGAAGGAACUGCCGGUGAUAAGCCGGAGGAAGGUGGGGAUGACGUCAAGUCCUCAUGGCCCUUACGGGCCGGGCUACACACGUGAUACAAUGGUGAUUACAAAGGGCUGCUACAGAGCGAUCUCAAGCAAAUCCUUAAAAGUCAUCUCAGUUCGGAUUGCACUCUGCAACUCGAGUGCAUGAAGUUGGAAUCGCUAGUAAUCGUAGAUCAGCGCGCUACGGUGAAUACGUUCCCGGGUCUUGUACACACCGCCCGUCACACCAUGGGAGUUGGUUUUACCUGAAGCUAGUUCGCUAACCGCAAGGAGGCAGCUAACCACGGUAAGAUUAGCGACUGGGGUGAAGUCGUAACAAGGUAACCA